UAAGCGGAGGAAAAGAAACUAACANGGAUUCCCCUAGUAACUGCGAGUGAAGCGGGAAAAGCUCAAAUUUAAAAUCUGGUGGUCUUUGGCCAUUCGAGUUGUAAUUUAGAGAAGCGUCUUCCGCGCUGGACCGUGCACAAGUCUCCUGGAAUGGAGCGUCAUAGAGGGUGAGAAUCCCGUCUUUGGCACGGACACACCAGGGCUUUUGUGAUGCGCUCUCGAAGAGUCGAGUUGUUUGGGAAUGCAGCUCAAAAUGGGUGGUGAACUCCAUCUAAAGCUAAAUAUUGGCGAGAGACCGAUAGCGAACAAGUACCGUGAGGGAAAGAUGAAAAGCACUUUGGAAAGAGAGUGAAACAGUACGUGAAAUUGUUGAAAGGGAAACGCUUGAAGUCAGUCACGUCGACCGAGACUCAGCCUUGCCUUGGCUUGGUGUACUUCUCGGCUGACGGGUCAGCAUCAAUUUUGCCCCUUGGAUAAUGGCGAGGGAAAUGUGACACCUUUACGGUGUGUUAUAGUCUCUCGUCGCAUGCAAGGGUUGGGAUUGAGGAACUCAGCACGCGCCUUUGGGUGUCGGGGCUUUGCCCACGAUACGUGCUUAGGAUGUUGGCAUAAUGGCUUUAAACGACC
RNAcentral lists this ribosomal RNA (627 nucleotides) under uncultured Russulaceae. Its description in RNAcentral is "LSU rRNA". It matches the Rfam family "Eukaryotic large subunit ribosomal RNA", at positions 47 to 649 of the family's 3401-position model. Lineage: Eukaryota; Fungi; Basidiomycota; Agaricomycetes; Russulales; Russulaceae. The record is from RNAcentral.